AACGAACGCUGGCGGCAUGCCUAACACAUGCAAGUCGAACGAGACCUUCGGGUCUAGUGGCGCACGGGUGCGUAACGCGGGGGAACCUGCCCUUAGGUUCGGAAUAACUCCCCGAAAGGGGUGCUAAUACCGGAUAAUGUCUUCGGACCAAAGAUUUAUCGCCUUUGGAUGGGCCCGCGUUGGAUUAGCUAGUUGGUAGGGUAAAAGCCUAUCAAGGCGACGAUCCAUAGCUGGUCUGAGAGGAUGAUCAGCCACACUGGGACUGAGACACGGCCCAGACUCCUACGGGAGGCAGCAGUGGGGAAUAUUGGACGACGGGCGAAAGCCUGAUCCAGCCAUGUCGCGUGAGUGAUGAAGGCCUUAGGGUUGUAAAGCUCUUUUACCCGGGCUGAUAAUGACGGUACCGGGAGAAUAAGCGCCGGCUAACUCCGUG
RNAcentral lists this ribosomal RNA (433 nucleotides) under uncultured bacterium. Its description in RNAcentral is "partial 16S ribosomal RNA". It matches the Rfam family "Bacterial small subunit ribosomal RNA", at positions 29 to 507 of the family's 1533-position model. The record is from RNAcentral.